GGACUACCGGGGUAUCUAAUCCGGUUCGCUCCCCACGCUUUCGCGCCUCAGCGUCAGGUACAGCCCAGUCGGCCGCCUUCGCCACUGGUGUUCCUCCCGAUCUCUACGCAUUUCACCACUCCACCGGGAAUUCCACCGACCUCUGCUGCCCUCAAGCCUGCCAGUAUCCGAUGCCGUGUUCCAGUUGAGCCGAAACCUUUCACACCGAACUUAACAGGCCGCCUACGCGCGCUUUACGCCCAGUAAAUCCGGACAACGCUCGCCACCUACGUAUUACCGCGGCUGCUGGCAC
RNAcentral lists this ribosomal RNA (292 nucleotides) under uncultured bacterium. Its description in RNAcentral is "partial 16S ribosomal RNA". The record is from RNAcentral.